UCGGGAAUUUUGGGCAAUGGGCGCAAGCCUGAUCCAGCCAUGCUGCGUGAGUGACGAAGGUCUUCGGAUUGUAAAGCUCUUUUGGCGGGGACGAUAAUGACGGUACCCGCAGAAUAAGCCCCGGCUAACUUCGUGCCAGCAGCCGCGGUAAUACGAAGGGGGCUAGCGUUGUUCGGAAUUACUGGGCGUAAAGCGCACGUAGGCGGACUGAUAAGUCAGGGGUGAAAUCCCGGGGCUCAACCUCGGAACUGCCUUUGAUACUGUUAGUCUCGAGUCCGGAAGAGGUGAGUGGAAUUCCUAGUGUAGAGGUGAAAUUCGUAGAUAUUAGGAAGAACACCGGUGGCGAAGGCGGCCCACUGGCUCGAUACUGACGCUGAGGUGCGAAAGCGUGGGGAGCAAACAGGAUUAGAUACCCUCGUAGUCCCUGAGCGGGCUGGCAAGGCGCAU
RNAcentral lists this ribosomal RNA (447 nucleotides) under uncultured bacterium. RNAcentral describes it as "bacterial SSU rRNA". It matches the Rfam family "Bacterial small subunit ribosomal RNA", at positions 355 to 825 of the family's 1533-position model. The record is from RNAcentral.